GGGAAACACAAAUGUUUAGAAAGGUUGGCUUAUAUCGUCUUGUUGCUGCUUAUUUUGGCUUUGGUUCCUGAGCUAAUAUGUGCCUACACAACUCAAGUUUCAUAUCUUCACCAGGAUAAUGUGGGAACCCUCAACAUCAUUGCUCAUGGUCUGUGCUUGAACUUGGACAAUUAUGAAAGUGAUGAAUUCUCUAGUAAGGGAUGCAAUCAGAGAGAAUCAUGGGGUGUAACUGUACUUUCCAAAGCCAUACACUUUGCAGAGUAACUGAAAUGUACAAUUCAUUGUUGUGAAAACCGAAUCAGACCAGUUGAUUCAAUCGGUUUAAUCGGAGUGGGAUCAGUGAUCAAUUCAGUUUUUAUAUGAAAUCCUUGUUGCUGCAAAUCGGAGUUGAACUGGUGGAUCCGGCUAAAUAAUCGACGAACAAGUCAG
This 429-nucleotide unclassified non-coding RNA is filed under the name Hevea brasiliensis (rubber tree). The record is from RNAcentral. Lineage: Eukaryota; Viridiplantae; Streptophyta; Magnoliopsida; Malpighiales; Euphorbiaceae.